RNAcentral lists this ribosomal RNA (706 nucleotides) under Tubeufia pandanicola. Its description in RNAcentral is "SSU rRNA". It matches the Rfam family "Eukaryotic small subunit ribosomal RNA", at positions 80 to 796 of the family's 1831-position model. The record is from RNAcentral. Lineage: Eukaryota; Fungi; Ascomycota; Dothideomycetes; Tubeufiales; Tubeufiaceae.
GGUGAAACUGCGAAUGGCUCAUUAAAUCAGUUAUCGUUUAUUUGAUAGUACCUUACUACAUGGAUAACCGUGGUAAUUCUAGAGCUAAUACAUGCUAAAAACCUCGACUUCGGAAGGGGUGUAUUUAUUAGAUAAAAAACCAAUGCCCUUCGGGGCUCCUUGGUGAAUCAUAAUAACUUAACGAAUCGCAUGGCCUUGCGCCGGCGAUGGUUCAUUCAAAUUUCUGCCCUAUCAACUUUCGAUGGUAGGAUAGUGGCCUACCAUGGUAUCAACGGGUAACGGGGAAUUAGGGUUCGACUCCGGAGAGGGAGCCUGAGAAACGGCUACCACAUCCAAGGAAGGCAGCAGGCGCGCAAAUUACCCAAUCCCGACACGGGGAGGUAGUGACAAUAAAUACUGAUACAGGGCUCUUUUGGGUCUUGUAAUUGGAAUGAGUACAAUUUAAAUCCCUUAACGAGGAACAAUUGAAGGGCAAGUCUGGUGCCAGCAGCCGCGGUAAUUCCAGCUCCAAUAGCGUAUAUUAAAGUUGUUGCAGUUAAAAAGCUCGUAGUUGAACCUUGGGCCUGGCUGGCCGGUCCGCCUCAGCGCGUGUACUGGUCCGGCCGGGCCUUUCCUUCUGGGGAACCUCAUGCCCUUCACUGGGCGUGUUGGGGAACCAGGACUUUUACUUUGAAAAAAUUAAAGUGUUCAAAUCAGGCCUUUGCUC